AUGGAUCUCAUUAACUCCGGCCCCCUAUCUCGGUCGGUACACAUUUGGAAAGUUAAGAUCCCUUUGCGUAUUAAAAUUUUCAUGUGGUUUGUUCAUAAGCAAGUGAUACUCACCAAGGACAACCUAAUUAAGAGGCGAUGGGUAGGUUCUUCGCGGUGCUGUUUUUGUGAUCAUGACGAAACAAUACAACAUUUAUUUAUUGAAUGCCCACUUGCCAAAUUACUUUGGAGAACGAUUCAUAUAGCUUUUAAUAUUAAUCCACCAGUCGAUAUUGCGUCUUUGUUUGGGACGUGGUUAGCUGGGGUGGAGAAAAUAACUGCGGUCCGUAUUCGGAUUGGAAUAUGCGCGCUAUUAUGGGCUAUAUGGAACUGCAGGAAUGAUAUGAUUUUUAAUAGACAACACACUUUAACUUUUUUGCAGGUUAUCUUCAGGGCUAUGGCUUGGAUCCGUACGUGGUCCUUACUCACUCCUAUGGACUCCAGGGAGCCUUUGGUUACUGGGUGCAACCAAUGGGAGAUGGUAGCUCGGGUUAUCUUCAACCGGUUCGGAUGGCGCUCGCAUAACAGGAUAGGAGUCUAG
This 579-nucleotide ribosomal RNA is filed under the name Triticum aestivum (bread wheat). Its description in RNAcentral is "partial small subunit ribosomal RNA". Lineage: Eukaryota; Viridiplantae; Streptophyta; Magnoliopsida; Poales; Poaceae. The record is from RNAcentral.